ACCACUUUGUGAUUCAUGACUGGGGUGAAGUCGUAACAAGGUAACCGUAGGGGAACCUGCGGUUGUGUCACCUUCUUACCUUAAAGAAGC
This 90-nucleotide ribosomal RNA is filed under the name Salmonella enterica subsp. enterica serovar Enteritidis. RNAcentral's name for it is "partial 16S ribosomal RNA". The stretch from base 1 to 78 matches the Rfam family "Bacterial small subunit ribosomal RNA", at positions 1456 to 1533 of the family's 1533-position model. The record is from RNAcentral. Lineage: Bacteria; Pseudomonadati; Pseudomonadota; Gammaproteobacteria; Enterobacterales; Enterobacteriaceae.